AAGUUUAUUAUGUUCUUCAAUGAACAUAGGGAUUGGAAAUUUAUAAAAUUAGGAAGUAUCUUCAAAAUUAAAAAAUAAAGGAUAUAUAAACACCAAGAGUUCCGAGACAGAACAAACAACAGCAGUCCAUGGGAUGCUCAGACCCAGCUGACUCCAAAGCAGUUUCUUCAUAAAAAAAUAAGGUACUUAAAAAAAAAAAGCUCUGGAAGACAGUGGAGUCAGCAUGGAAAACAUGGAACAUGAAAACAGAAAUGUUACUGCAGCACAUCCUGAUUGUCCAAAGAAAAGUCUGUUGGCAAAACAGGGAAAGCUCUGAGUGCCAAGCUCAGCCCUCUGCUAAAGGCAUCUCCCAAAUUCCACCAGGGUCCUCUAACUCCAGAAGGGCUUUGGAGAGACCUUGAAGCCCAUCCCAACCCACCCCUGCCAAGGCAGGGACACCUGCCACUGUGCCAGGCUGCUCCCAGCCCCAGGGUCCAACCCGGCCUGGGACAUUCCAGGGACGGGGAGUGAGACAUGGAAAGAGCACUGGGAACGUUCCCAGACACAUCCAUGAGGAAUCCUGUGAGGAACCUGUGAGGAACCUGUGAGGAACCCCAGGCUCCUCACUGCUGCUCCUCUGGCUCCUUUGGCACCCUCAGCUCUGGCCCUACUGAGCCAAGCAGGGCUGGAAGUGCAGAUCCCACAGGAUUGUGUCCAGCAUGGAUUCCCUCAGGCUGUGUAAACACCGUGGGAGUGACACCCACAGAACUCUGCUGGAGCUGGCAGGUUCUGCUCAGCUCACAGCUUCAAGUAGAGAAGUGCCCAAAGCUGCUCCUGGUGCAGAGGGACAGCCCUGGGUGGGGUGGGGACACUGGGGUCAUUCCCAGCCAGGGCUGGGGAGCUCCCCCAGCAAGGGCAGCUCUGGGAACCCAAACCCAGCAAUCCCAAAGGCCACAGUGUCCCCUGAGGAUCCCCAAGGUCCCAGUGUCCCCUGAGGAUCCCAAAGGUCUCAGUGUCCCCCUGAGGAUCCCCAAGGUUUCAGUGUCCCCUGAGGAUCCCCAAGGUCUCAGUAUCCCCCUGAGGAUCCCCAAGGUCUCAGUGUCCCCUGAGGAUCCCAAAGGUCUCAGUGUCCCCUAAGGGUCCCCAAGGUCUCAGUGUCCCCCUGAGGAUCCCCAAGGUCACAGUGUCCCCUGAGGAUCCCAAAGGUCCCA
This is a long non-coding RNA of Serinus canaria (Common canary), 1190 nucleotides long. RefSeq lists it as uncharacterized. The transcript has 3 exons. NCBI's taxonomy places the organism in Eukaryota, Metazoa, Chordata, Aves, Passeriformes, Fringillidae. The record is from RefSeq and is a predicted model, not a curated record.